This 72-nucleotide transfer RNA is filed under the name Trichonephila inaurata madagascariensis. RNAcentral describes it as "tRNA-Ser". Lineage: Eukaryota; Metazoa; Arthropoda; Arachnida; Araneae; Nephilidae. The record is from RNAcentral.
GAAGGGAUGGUCAGUGGUGGAGCAUUGACUGCUCAUCGAGUGGUCCCCGGUUCAAAUCCGGGGUCUUCUUCA